GGCUGGCGGCAGCUACCAUGCAGUCGAGCGGAAACAAAGAGUAGCUUGCUACUCUGGCGACGAGCGGCGGACGGGUGAGUAAUGCUUGGGAACAUGCCUUGAGGUGGGGGACAACAGUUGGAAACGACUGCUAAUACCGCAUAAUGUCUACGGACCAAAGGGGGCUUCGGCUCUCGCCUUUAGAUUGGCCCAAGUGGGAUUAGCUAGUUGGUGAGGUAAUGGCUCACCAAGGCGACGAUCCCUAGCUGGUUUGAGAGGAUGAUCAGCCACACUGGGACUGAGACACGGCCCAGACUCCUACGGGAGGCAGCAGUGGGGAAUAUUGCACAAUGGGCGCAAGCCUGAUGCAGCCAUGCCGCGUGUGUGAAGAAGGCCUUCGGGUUGUAAAGCACUUUCAGUCAGGAGGAAAGGUUAGUAGUUAAUACCUGCUAGCUGUGACGUUACUGACAGAAGAAGCACCGGCUAACUCCGUGCCAGCAGCCGCGGUAAUACGGAGGGUGCGAGCGUUAAUCGGAAUUACUGGGCGUAAAGCGUACGCAGGCGGUUUGUUAAGCGAGAUGUGAAAGCCCCGGGCUCAACCUGGGAACUGCAUUUCGAACUGGCAAACUAGAGUGUGAUAGAGGGUGGUAGAAUUUCAGGUGUAGCGGUGAAAUGCGUAGAGAUCUGAAGGAAUACCGAUGGCGAAGGCAGCCACCUGGGUCAACACUGACGCUCAUGUACGAAAGCGUGGGGAGCAAACAGGAUUAGUCCCCUU
This 754-nucleotide ribosomal RNA is filed under the name Pseudoalteromonas sp. RNAcentral's name for it is "bacterial SSU rRNA". It matches the Rfam family "Bacterial small subunit ribosomal RNA", at positions 34 to 788 of the family's 1533-position model. Lineage: Bacteria; Pseudomonadati; Pseudomonadota; Gammaproteobacteria; Alteromonadales; Pseudoalteromonadaceae. The record is from RNAcentral.